CUUAAAAUCAAGUUUACGCAAAUUAUUAGAACCACUACAAGUUUGUUAGCUCAAUUAUUGAACAAGCUGCAAACGUUGAGCAAGAGAUGGGUAAGAACCACCAAUUCCUUAACAACAUAGAAGCUAAAAUUUUUAAGGAUUUUCAGUCUCUUAAAUAUCCAACCAAUCCCUUGAUCAUCUUCACUUUAAAUAACCCCAUUUAUGAAAUUCACUUCAGAGAAAAAUAGACCUUGGGAGGGUAAUAGAAAGAUAACACUUGAGUACUAGAGGUUGAC
RNAcentral lists this long non-coding RNA (275 nucleotides) under Medicago truncatula (barrel medic). RNAcentral describes it as "long non-coding RNA (MTRU_LNC005078)". Lineage: Eukaryota; Viridiplantae; Streptophyta; Magnoliopsida; Fabales; Fabaceae. The record is from RNAcentral.